RNAcentral lists this ribosomal RNA (253 nucleotides) under uncultured bacterium. RNAcentral's name for it is "partial 16S ribosomal RNA". It matches the Rfam family "Bacterial small subunit ribosomal RNA", at positions 524 to 776 of the family's 1533-position model. The record is from RNAcentral.
UACGUAGGCAGCAAGCGUUGUUCGGAGUUACUGGGCGUAAAGGGUGCGUAGGCGGCUUUUUAAGUUUGGUGUGAAAUCUCCCGGCUCAACUGGGAGGGUGCGCCGAAUACUGAGAGGCUAGAGUGUGGGAGAGGAAAGUGGAAUUCCUGGUGUAGCGGUGAAAUGCGUAGAUAUCAGGAAGAACACCCGUGGCUAAGGCGGCUCUCUAGUACGGUACUGACGCUGAGACGCGAAAGCGUGGGGAGCGAACAGG